RNAcentral lists this ribosomal RNA (258 nucleotides) under uncultured Lactobacillales bacterium. RNAcentral's name for it is "partial 16S ribosomal RNA". It matches the Rfam family "Bacterial small subunit ribosomal RNA", at positions 94 to 339 of the family's 1533-position model. Lineage: Bacteria; Bacillati; Bacillota; Bacilli; Lactobacillales. The record is from RNAcentral.
AGCGGCGGACGGGUGAGUAACACGUGGGCAACCUGUCCUGGGAUGGGGGGAUAACAUUUGGAAACAGAUGCUAAUAACCGCAUUAAUAAUCAAAAACCACAUGGGUUUUGAUUUCAAAGAUGGCUUCGGCUAGUCACUCCAGGAUGGGCCCGCGGUGCAUUAGCUAGUUGGUAAGGUAACGGCUUACCAAGGCGAUGAUGCAUAGCCGAGUUGAGAGACUGAUCGGCCACAAUGGAACUGAGACACGGUCCAUACUCC